RNAcentral lists this ribosomal RNA (482 nucleotides) under uncultured bacterium. RNAcentral describes it as "partial 16S ribosomal RNA". It matches the Rfam family "Bacterial small subunit ribosomal RNA", at positions 28 to 507 of the family's 1533-position model. The record is from RNAcentral.
GACGAACGCUGGCGGCGUGCCUAACACAUGCAAGUCGAACGGAACUGUUUUGAAAGAUUUCUUCGGAAUGAAUUUGAUUUAGUUUAUUGGCGGACGGGUGAGUACCGCGUGGGUAACCUGCCUUCAAAAGGGGAAUAACAUUCGGAAAAGAAUGCUAAUACCGCAUAACAUAUCGAAACCACAGGUUUUUGAUAUCAAAGAUUUUAUCGCUUGAAGAUGGACUCGCGUCCGAUUAGUUAGUUGGUGAGGUAACGGCUCACCAAGACCGCGAUCGGUAGCCGGACUGAGAGGUUGAACGGCCACAUUGGGACUGAGACACGGCCCAGACUCCUACGGGAGGCAGCAGUGGGGGAUAUUGCGCAAUGGGGGCAACCCUGACGCAGCAACGCCGCGUGAAGGAUGAAGGUUUUCGGAUUGUAAACUUCUUUUAUUAAGGACGAAAAAUGACGGUACUUAAUGAAUAAGCUCCGGCUAACUACGUG